Molecule: ribosomal RNA, 253 nt
Filed under: uncultured bacterium
Lineage: Bacteria
Description: partial 16S ribosomal RNA
Rfam family: Bacterial small subunit ribosomal RNA
Source: RNAcentral
UACGUAGGUGGCAAGCGUUGUCCGGAUUUACUGGGCGUAAAGAGCGCGCAGGCGGUCGAUUAAGUCGAGUGUGAAAGCCCCCGGCUCAACUGGGGAGGGUCAUUUGAUACUGGUCGACUCGAAGGUGGGAGAGGGAAGUGGAAUUCCCGGUGUAGUGGUGAAAUGCGUAGAUAUCGGGAGGAACACCAGUGGCGAAGGCGACUUCCUGGCCCAUUCUUGACGCUGAGGCGCGAAAGCUAGGGGAGCAAACGGG